ACGAGUUAGGGCCUUCUAGGCCCGACCUCCCAACCCUAUGUUUAUUGAACCUCUGUUGCUUCGGCGGACCCGCCUCACGGCCGCCGGAGGACCGCUGCAAGGCGUCCUCUGGCCAGCGUCCGCCGAUGGCCAACCACUUAAACUCUGAAUGAAUCGUGUCAUAUGUCUAAGUCUAUGAUUAAAUUAAAGCA
This 191-nucleotide unclassified non-coding RNA is filed under the name soil metagenome. RNAcentral's name for it is "partial internal transcribed spacer 1". The record is from RNAcentral.